GCAUUCCCUGUAUGGGUAAACUGUCACAUGUUAGGGUAAAGUUACAUUGUCCGUAAGACUUUUGUGUUUAUAGUGAUAGAUGGUGCUUGUUUAUGGAUGUCUGAGAGGAGUAGAGAGUAGGUUCGGGGAAGGGAGUCUGCUCAUUAUGUAACUGCCGUUUGGAAAAGUGUUUUCGCGCUCAGCUUUCUGAGUCUGACAUUCCUUCAGUUCCAUUGGGAUUCGGUUAGACAACACAGCGAGAGCAGAUCACAGAGAAACAAAGUGCGCAGAGUACGUGCUCAUCCUCAUCCUGUCAUAUCGCAUGUCGCACUUGUGGAGGGUCUAACAAGGGUUUUAUACAAGACAAUGACUUUGGCAUUCAGGUCUCAUGGAAAACAGUGGCGUUUAUGUAAAGUUUUCUAAAGAGACAUGCCAACUGAAUUCCCCAUCAGACAAACUGAAGCAAGAGUUGGAACAAGAGUUGAAAUUAAGCAGCUGUAACUUAUCAAGUCAUGGCUGGUACCAUGGUCGCAUACCUUGGGAGGUGAGUUUAUAAAUAUUUUUAUGUACACUUUUAGAAAUAAAGGUUCCAAAUGAUGUUUUCCUAGCAAUGCCAUAGAAGAACCAAUUUUGGUUCCCUCAAAAGAAUCUUUUAGUUAACAG
Sinocyclocheilus rhinocerous is the source of this 642-nucleotide long non-coding RNA. RefSeq lists it as uncharacterized. NCBI's taxonomy places the organism in Eukaryota, Metazoa, Chordata, Actinopteri, Cypriniformes, Cyprinidae. The record is from RefSeq and is a predicted model, not a curated record. The transcript is spliced from 3 exons.